RNAcentral lists this transfer RNA (76 nucleotides) under Candidatus Ryanbacteria bacterium RIFCSPHIGHO2_01_FULL_45_22. RNAcentral's name for it is "tRNA-Thr". It matches the Rfam family "tRNA". From Rfam's summary of the family: Transfer RNA (tRNA) molecules are approximately 80 nucleotides in length. The record is from RNAcentral. RNAcentral also lists the same sequence under 1 other name. Lineage: Bacteria; Candidatus Ryaniibacteriota.
GCCGAGAUAGCUCAGUUGGUAGAGCACAUUCUUGGUAAGAAUGAGGUCGCCGGUUCAAUCCCGGCUCUCGGCUCCG